Molecule: ribosomal RNA, 372 nt
Filed under: uncultured organism
Description: bacterial SSU rRNA
Rfam family: Bacterial small subunit ribosomal RNA
Source: RNAcentral
CGGAGGGUGCGAGCGUUGUCCGGAAUCAUUGGGCGUAAAGGGCGCGUAGGUGGCCUGCUAAGCGUGCGGUGAAAGCUCGGGGCUCAACCCCGAGUCGGCCGUGCGAACCGGUGGGCUUGAGCACUGUAGAGGCAGGCGGAAUUCCGGGUGUAGCGGUGGAAUGCGUAGAGAUCCGGAAGAACACCGGUGGCGAAGGCGGCCUGCUGGGCAGUAGCUGACACUGAGGCGCGACAGCGUGGGGAGCAAACAGGAUUAGAUACCCUGGUAGUCCACGCCGUAAACGAUGGGCACUAGGCGCUUGGGGGAGCGACCCCCCGAGGGCCGGCGCUAACGCAUUAAGUGCCCCGCCUGGGGAGUACGGCCGCAAGGCUG